UUCUGGUCUGCUGUGCUAUGCAGACGUGAACAAUGUUUGUGGAGCGGGACGUUGGGCAAUUGCAAAGGUCACAGAUGCUGAUCAAGGGCUGCCAAGUAUCCUGAAAGGCGUCUAAAGAAGCUGAUGAAUUGUUAGGUUCAUGUGCUUUUAUUUGCUCAGCAAGUCGAGAAGAAACACAAGAUCACACAGAAUCACACCUUGAUCCCAAGACUCAGAGACUUUGACUCAUAUGAAAGGGAAAGAGAGGAGGGGGACAGAUGGCUGGAGUUCUCCUGGGCAAGCAGCAUAUACCCCACUGAACACUGGAAGCUCUUGACCAUCUGGACCAAAAGCAAUGAGCAGCAUCUCUGGAUCACCCAGUGAGGAGACUUUUAAUGGAGAGGUCACUCAAAGUAAUGUCAACAAUACACAUUUAGUACAGCUCCCUGGCUGUAUGACU
Molecule: long non-coding RNA, 439 nt
Organism: Solea senegalensis (Senegalese sole)
Lineage: Eukaryota; Metazoa; Chordata; Actinopteri; Pleuronectiformes; Soleidae
Exons: 3
Source: RefSeq, a predicted model, not a curated record